UGGGGUAUAGCUUAGUGUUAGAGUGUGUGCUUAGCAUGCACAAGGUCCUGGGUUCAGUUCCCUGUAUCUCCA
RNAcentral lists this transfer RNA (72 nucleotides) under Camelus bactrianus (Bactrian camel). It matches the Rfam family "tRNA". From Rfam's summary of the family: Transfer RNA (tRNA) molecules are approximately 80 nucleotides in length. Their secondary structure includes four short double-helical elements and three loops (D, anti-codon, and T loops). Lineage: Eukaryota; Metazoa; Chordata; Mammalia; Artiodactyla; Camelidae. RNAcentral also lists the same sequence under 2 other names. The record is from Rfam by way of RNAcentral.